RNAcentral lists this ribosomal RNA (301 nucleotides) under uncultured bacterium. Its description in RNAcentral is "partial 16S ribosomal RNA". It matches the Rfam family "Bacterial small subunit ribosomal RNA", at positions 509 to 807 of the family's 1533-position model. The record is from RNAcentral.
CAGUCGCCACGGUAAUACGAAGGGUGCAAGCGUUAAUCGGAAUUACUGGGCGUAAAGCGUGCGUAGGCGGUUUGUUAAGUCUGCUGCGAAAUCCCCGGGCUCAACCUGGGAAUGGCAGUGGAUACUGGCUCGCUAGAGUGUGUCAGAGGAUGGUGGAAUUCCCGGUGUAGCGGUGAAAUGCGUAGGGAUCGGGAGGAACAUCAGUGGCGAAGGCGGCCAUCUGGGACAACACUGACGCUGAGGCACGAAAGCGUGGGGAGCAAACAGGAUUAGAUACCCGCGUAGUCCCUGUCUCUUAUAC